This is a non-coding RNA of Ictidomys tridecemlineatus (thirteen-lined ground squirrel), 1594 nucleotides long. Lineage: Eukaryota; Metazoa; Chordata; Mammalia; Rodentia; Sciuridae. The record is from RefSeq and is a predicted model, not a curated record.
AUGAUUUUCCUCUAAAAUACAUAAAGACUCAGCCCUGGCUGCUGCCACAGCCCCUGUUGCUGCUAGUGCUGCUAGUGCUGCCACAAACCAGAGGUCUAUUCUCAGGGUGCCACUGCCACCACCACCCAGUCACUGCCCAGAGGUCCACUGCCAUCUCCAUCUCGGGGUGCAGCCACCUCCAUAUAGGGACACCAGCCAGUGCCUGGAGGUCCAGUGUCAGGGUCCCUGAAGGUUUGGCUGCACCUGAGAUCUUCCUGUUGGAAGUGCUAUUGGCUGUCAUCUGGUUGCUUGUUCACUUUUGUGUGAGUGCAUUCUUGGUGGUCUCCCUGCAAGUUGGAACAGCACUGAGAUCUUGGGAAUGCAGCAUGGCCAAUCCUGGAGUAUCUGAAGCCCAGAUCCAUCAGAUAGUGACUAGGUCUGUGUGGGCCCAUCUGGGCCUGGCAAUCCCAUGAAAAGACAGAGAUAAUACUCUGUAUUCACAAUCAGAUCAUAAUGGAAUGAAAUUAGAAAUCAACAAUAAAAUAAAAAAUAGAAGCUACUCUAACAAAUGGAGACUAAAUGAUACACUACUGAAUGAUGAAUGAGUAACAUCACCAACUCAAUAGACAUUUGGCACUGUUGUGGUAAUGGUUUGUGCACUGUGUUGCCUUGACAAAUCAUUGUGGGAAUGUCAAGAGUCAUUCCUGGGCUGUGUGUGGACUAGAUUGGCAUUGAAGCCUAGUGAAUAGGAGAAUCUGAUGUCUGGGAACUUCCAGUGGAAAUUUCCUCUGGCUAAGACUGCCCAGACAGAUUAUGAACUCUAUUCAAGCUCUGCUAGUCCCACAUAGCACCAGAGAUGGGGUGACUUGCUGCAGUUACAUAGCCUCUCUGAGAUGGGUGACUUGCCAAGACACCAUGAAGCAAGACUCCAUCCCUGAAAUCUUAUCUUGCCUUUGAGGUGGCUUACAUCAUCCUGAGCAGGAAGAAGGACCUUUAGCAGUGCUGGUCAUCUCCUCUAUGGAGGAGUGGCUGGGUCAUAUAAUUCACGGACCACAUUUCUGAAAUUUAGUCUGGUGGAUACAACACCUUCAUUUUAUUUUUAUGUGGAGCUGAGGAUCAAACUCAAUGCCUCCUGAGUGCUAGGAGCCUCAAUGAGCCGCAACUGGAGCCCUAGAAACCACUGUCUUGACAAAGGCAUUGAGGCCUUUGGAGAAAGAAAAGACAAGAGCCUCUAAAAGAAAUUCAACAUAUCCAAAUUAAGUCUUCUUGUGAGGUGGCAGGAAAAAGAAGUCAAUCAUAUUAGGACCAGUAUAGAUUUUGCUGCACACCCACAGGUGAAAAUAAUAACAUUUGUAUCAUCUACUACUGUAAAUUUACAGCUUCAGCUUCCUUGUAAGAAAGACAAAGGACAAAGUCAUCAUGAGUUGUUUUACAAAGUUCUUGUAUGGUUUCAACUGAAAAUGUAUUACAUUUUAUUUAAUUAUUUUUUACCUUUUAAAAACUGUAUUGGUGCAUUGUAAUUAUAAUACAUAAUCAUGAAAAUAUAAAUAACUACAAACAAAUUCGAUGUUUGAUUUGUUUAUAUGGCAUAGACAGAUUUAUUUGAUUUAAAAUA